RNAcentral lists this ribosomal RNA (265 nucleotides) under uncultured bacterium. RNAcentral's name for it is "partial 16S ribosomal RNA". It matches the Rfam family "Bacterial small subunit ribosomal RNA", at positions 88 to 354 of the family's 1533-position model. The record is from RNAcentral.
CCGGCGACCGGCGCACGGUGAGUAACACGUAUGGAACCUGCCCGCAGCAGGGGGAUAAGCGGAAGAAAUUCCGUCUAAUACCGCGUAACAACGUUGGGAGGCAUCUCCCGAUGUUUAAAGAUUUAUCGGCUGCGGAUGGCCAUGCGGCGCAUUAGCUAGUCGGCGGGGUAACGGCCCACCGAGGCGACGAUGCGUAGGGGUUCUGAGAGGAAGGUCCCCCACACUGGUACUGAGACACGGACCAGACUCCUACGGGAGGCAGCAG